Molecule: small nuclear RNA, 186 nt
Organism: Dermacentor andersoni
Lineage: Eukaryota; Metazoa; Arthropoda; Arachnida; Ixodida; Ixodidae
Product: U2 spliceosomal RNA
Source: RefSeq, a predicted model, not a curated record
ACAGGGCCGACGCAGGUCAAAACGUAGUAUCUGUUCUUAUCAGCUUAAUAUCUGGUACGGGUAGUACUCGGAUCUAAGGCAUUAAACUUAUUUUCGCAAGUUGGCGGAGUGCCCGCCGAAGGCCCGCUUCACCUCUGUAGCGGUUCAUCCCGCCAUUGCAAUAUCUUCGGGAUCGGCCCAAGUAGG